AGCCCACACUUGAAGCACUUGCCCUCCCGCUACUCAUACUGUUGUGGGUAGUGAGGGCCUCCACAAAUAACACAUCUCGCCGAGGACCUAACGUGGUAAGUCCCCGGAGCUCGGGAUCGCGAGCGCGAACUCAUCGAAGUUCGUUGGGAACUUGACUGACCGUCAUGCCCGCUCACCGGCCGUCCUUUCCCCUUUUCCUUGUAAUAUGCCUCGCGCCCCUCCCGCAGAGAUUCCUCGCCUUGCUUUAUCCACAAGGCCCGAUCUAGGACCUCAGAAAAAGUCUGCAAC
RNAcentral lists this long non-coding RNA (288 nucleotides) under Ananas comosus (pineapple). Its description in RNAcentral is "long non-coding RNA (ACOM_LNC044165)". The record is from RNAcentral. Lineage: Eukaryota; Viridiplantae; Streptophyta; Magnoliopsida; Poales; Bromeliaceae.